GAGAAAGCUGGCUCAAUAGCUUCAGCAAAUUCUAUAAUAAUCUAAAAGUGAAGAUACAACUAUGCCAAGAGGUUUUAUAGAGCAACCUCUCGUUCAAGCAUGGAAAAGGCCUAUAGCCAUGUCAGCAUACAUGUGCUAAAUGUGUGGCUUUCUAGAAGCUCUUAUUUCUACACGUGAAUCUAAACAAGAAAUGAAACCUGCACAUGUGGAGGGAGAUCUCUUGAUGCAGCCCCUAUGUGAUGUUCACACCCCUCCUUAUGUGGCAAUGACCAUUUUAUCC
Molecule: long non-coding RNA, 280 nt
Filed under: Vigna radiata
Lineage: Eukaryota; Viridiplantae; Streptophyta; Magnoliopsida; Fabales; Fabaceae
Description: long non-coding RNA (VRAD_LNC006683)
Source: RNAcentral